GGAGCAAACAGGAUUAGAUACCCUGGUAGUCCACGCUGUAAACGAUGUCGAUUUGGAGGUUGUGCCCUUGAGGCGUGGUUUCCGGAGCUAACGCGUUAAAUCGACCGCCUGGGGAGUACGGCCGCAAGGUUAAAACUCAAAUGAAUGGACGGGGGCCCGCACAAGCGGUGGAGCAUGUGGUUUAAUUCGAUGCAACGCGAAGAACCUUACCUGGUCUUGACAUCCACAGAACUUUCCAGAGAUGGAUUGGUGCCUUCGGGAACUGUGAGACAGGUGCUGCAUGGCUGUCGUCAGCUCGUGUUGUGAAAUGUUGGGUUAAGUCCCGCAACGAGCGCAACCCUUAUCCUUUGUUGCCAGCGGUUCGGCCGGGAACUCAAAGGAGACUGCCAGUGAUAAACUGGAGGAAGGUGGGGAUGACGUCAAGUCAUCAUGGCCCUUACGACCAGGGCUACACACGUGCUACAAUGGCAUAUACAAAGAGAAGCGACCUCGCGAGAGCAAGCGGACCUCAUAAAGUAUGUCGUAGUCCGGAUUGGAGUCUGCAACUCGACUCCAUGAAGUCGGAAUCGCUAGUAAUCGUAGAUCAGAAG
This 590-nucleotide ribosomal RNA is filed under the name Klebsiella sp. SI-Hyd(m)-3B. RNAcentral describes it as "bacterial SSU rRNA". It matches the Rfam family "Bacterial small subunit ribosomal RNA", at positions 765 to 1355 of the family's 1533-position model. The record is from RNAcentral. Lineage: Bacteria; Pseudomonadati; Pseudomonadota; Gammaproteobacteria; Enterobacterales; Enterobacteriaceae.